Long non-coding RNA from Cottoperca gobio, 936 nucleotides. RefSeq lists it as uncharacterized. Lineage: Eukaryota; Metazoa; Chordata; Actinopteri; Perciformes; Bovichtidae. The record is from RefSeq and is a predicted model, not a curated record. The transcript is spliced from 3 exons.
CCAACACCGGCUCUUACAGCAGUGCUUACCAUACUUGCCUGAGUGCUGGGCGGUGGGACAGUACAGAGGGGAUUUCUCUGGAUUUGUCACCUUCACAGCUUUGAUCGAUUUUAUAUGAGUAAUUUAAGUUCAGUAUGUAAGGACGGUGUGAAUGCAAAUUUAACCUGUUGUUAGAUCUACAGCACAGAGAGUGAUUGAGCAGCCAGAAAGUCCUGACCGCCUUGAGCCUCGCCGUCAGUGUGACGAGACUAGAAAACAGCAGGUCAACGACCUUGUUGUGCUCAGUGAUGUGGUCCCACCCUGGCAGGAAAACAUUCUGCACAACAUCCUGGUGUGUCAACCUCUGCUCUAUUCCUCACAUGGCCCUGAAGGAAAUUGUUCCAGUGUAACAAAGAUGCAAGAGAUGAUAAUAAGAUGGCGUGUUUGUGCUGGCUCCAGCCACUGGGCCCCUUGGCACGCUCCCUGCUGUGUUUUGAAGAGAUCUCGGAAGCUUGAAGGCGUAAACAGGGCGGCCGGUUCGGAGGACUUCAUAAACAAACUUCCCUCAGCGGUAGUAGAUGCGCUGGUCAAACAGCUGCACAGAGUGAAUGACGCACUAUUUUUGUUUCAGUGGAAAAAUUCAACAGCAUCUCCACAAGUUUACCUACACAAGUUAAAAGAAGGUUAAGGACUCACUAAUGAAGUUAUCAGAAUAAAUCAUCCACUGACACCUGUAAAGUGCAUUCUGAUGAAGUAAUAACAGCCAUGGACUCCAUUAGUUCUCGGCUCCUUUGUGCUUUCUUUUAUGAUGGGUUGUAGACUAAUGACUUAUGCAUUAUACAUUGUUUCUUCCUGUAACUGUUUAAUUGGUUUCCCUUUAAGAGGUUUUGUGGACCACUUUGCUCCUACUCCCCCUUCUGCCACCACCUGGAUCGUUUUCCUUGUCCUCUCUCACUC